RNAcentral lists this transfer RNA (72 nucleotides) under Camelus bactrianus (Bactrian camel). It matches the Rfam family "tRNA". From Rfam's summary of the family: Transfer RNA (tRNA) molecules are approximately 80 nucleotides in length. Their secondary structure includes four short double-helical elements and three loops (D, anti-codon, and T loops). Lineage: Eukaryota; Metazoa; Chordata; Mammalia; Artiodactyla; Camelidae. The record is from Rfam by way of RNAcentral. RNAcentral also lists the same sequence under 2 other names.
GAGGGUAUAGCUCAGUGGUAGGGUGCAUACUUAGCAUGCACGAGGUCCUGGGUUCAAUCCCCAGUACCUCUG